This 52-nucleotide transfer RNA is filed under the name Dipodomys ordii (Ord's kangaroo rat). Lineage: Eukaryota; Metazoa; Chordata; Mammalia; Rodentia; Heteromyidae. The record is from Rfam by way of RNAcentral.
GGCGCUGUGGCUCAAGUGGUAGAGCGCUAGCCUUGAGCUAGGGACAGCGCCU